RNAcentral lists this ribosomal RNA (518 nucleotides) under uncultured fungus. RNAcentral describes it as "SSU rRNA". It matches the Rfam family "Eukaryotic small subunit ribosomal RNA", at positions 209 to 726 of the family's 1831-position model. Lineage: Eukaryota; Fungi. The record is from RNAcentral.
AUUAGAUAAAAAACCAACGCGGUUCGCCGCUCCCUUGGUGAUUCAUAAUAACUUCUCGAAUCGCAUGGCCUUGUGCCGGCGAUGGUUCAUUCAAAUUUCUGCCCUAUCAACUUUCGAUGGUAGGAUAGUGGCCUACCAUGGUGGCAACGGGUAACGGGGAAUUAGGGUUCGAUUCCGGAGAGGGAGCCUGAGAAACGGCUACCACAUCCAAGGAAGGCAGCAGGCGCGCAAAUUACCCAAUCCCGAUACGGGGAGGUAGUGACAAUAAAUACUGAUACGGGGCUCUUUUGGGUCUCGUAAUUGGAAUGAGAACAAUUUAAAUCCCUUAACGAGGAACAAUUGGAGGGCAAGUCUGGUGCCAGCAGCCGCGGUAAUUCCAGCUCCAAUAGCGUAUAUUAAAGUUGUUGCAGUUAAAAAGCUCGUAGUUGAACCUUGGCCCUGGCUGGCCGGUCCGCCUCACCGCGAGUACUGGUCCGGCUGGGGCUUUCCUUCUGGGGAACCUCAUGGCCUUCACUGGC